Molecule: ribosomal RNA, 559 nt
Filed under: uncultured bacterium
Lineage: Bacteria
Description: partial 16S ribosomal RNA
Rfam family: Bacterial small subunit ribosomal RNA
Source: RNAcentral
UGGGGAAUAUUGGACAAUGGGCGCAAGCCUGAUCCAGCAAUGCCGCGUGAGUGAUGAAGGCCUUAGGGUUGUAAAGCUCUUUCGCACGCGACGAUGAUGACGGUAGCGUGAGAAGAAGCCCCGGCUAACUUCGUGCCAGCAGCCGCGGUAAUACGAAGGGGGCUAGCGUUGUUCGGAAUUACUGGGCGUAAAGGGCGCGUAGGCGGCCUGUUUAGUCAGAAGUGAAAGCCCCGGGCUCAACCUGGGAAUAGCUUUUGAUACUGGCAGGCUUGAGUUCCGGAGAGGAUGGUGGAAUUCCCAGUGUAGAGGUGAAAUUCGUAGAUAUUGGGAAGAACACCGGUGGCGAAGGCGGCCAUCUGGACGGACACUGACGCUGAGGCGCGAAAGCGUGGGGAGCAAACAGGAUUAGAUACCCUGUAGUCCGCGCCGUAAACGAUGAAUGCUAGACGUCGGGGUGCAUGCACUUCGGUGUCGCCGCUAACGCAUUAAGCAUUCCGCCUGGGGAGUACGGCCGCAAGGUUAAAACUCAAAGGAAUUAACGGGGUCAUAGCUGUUUCCU